UACGUAUGGUGCAAGCGUUGUUCGGAAUCAUUGGGCGUAAAGGGUAUGUAGGCGGAACUGUAAGUCAGGUGUGAAAACUAUGGGCUCAACCCGUAGCCUGCACUUGAUACUGUGGUUCUGGAGUUAGGGAGAGGUAAGCGGAAUUCCUGGUGUAGCGGUGAAAUGCGUAGAUAUCAGGAGGAACACCGGUGGCGAAAGCGGCUUACUGGCCUAUAACUGACGCUGAGAUACGAAAGUGUGGGUAGCGAACGGGAUUAGAUACCCCCGUAGUCC
RNAcentral lists this ribosomal RNA (273 nucleotides) under uncultured bacterium. RNAcentral's name for it is "partial 16S ribosomal RNA". It matches the Rfam family "Bacterial small subunit ribosomal RNA", at positions 524 to 796 of the family's 1533-position model. The record is from RNAcentral.